CGAUGAAGCCCAGCUUGCUGGGUGGAUUAGUGGCGAACGGGUGAGUAACACGUGAGCAACGUGCCCAUAACUCUGGGAUAACCUCCGGAAACGGUGGCUAAUACUGGAUAUCUAACACGAUCGCAUGGUCUGUGUUUGGAAAGAUUUUUUGGUUAUGGAUCGGCUCACGGCCUAUCAGCUUGUUGGUGAGGUAAUGGCUCACCAAGGCGACGACGGGUAGCCGGCCUGAGAGGGUGACCGGCCACACUGGGACUGAGACACGGCCCAGACUCCUACGGGAGGCAGCAGUGGGGAAUAUUGCACAAUGGGCGAAAGCCUGAUGCAGCAACGCCGCGUGAGGGAUGACGGCCUUCGGGUUGUAAACCUCUUUUAGUAGGGAAGAAGCGAAAGUGACGGUACCUGCAGAAAAAGCACCGGCUAACUACGUG
This 428-nucleotide ribosomal RNA is filed under the name Pseudoclavibacter terrae. RNAcentral's name for it is "bacterial SSU rRNA". It matches the Rfam family "Bacterial small subunit ribosomal RNA", at positions 67 to 507 of the family's 1533-position model. Lineage: Bacteria; Bacillati; Actinomycetota; Actinomycetes; Micrococcales; Microbacteriaceae. The record is from RNAcentral.